Molecule: ribosomal RNA, 253 nt
Filed under: uncultured bacterium
Lineage: Bacteria
Description: partial 16S ribosomal RNA
Rfam family: Bacterial small subunit ribosomal RNA
Source: RNAcentral
UACGGAGGGGGCUAGCGUUGUUCGGAAUUACUGGGCGUAAAGCGCACGUAGGCGGAUCAGCACGUUAGGGGUGAAAUCCCGGGGCUCAACCCCGGAACUGCCUUUAAAACUGUUGGUCUGGAGGUCGAGAGAGGUGAGUGGAAUUCCGAGUGUAGAGGUGAAAUUCGUAGAUAUUCGGAGGAACACCAGUGGCGAAGGCGGCUCACUGGCUCGAUACUGACGCUGAGGUGCGAAAGCGUGGGGAGCAAACAGG